AAGCCUGAUGCAGCAACGCCGCGUGAACGAUGAAGGUGCUUCGGAUCGUAAAGUUCUGUUGCAGGGGAAGAUAAUGACGGUACCCUGUGAGGAAGCCCCGGCUAACUACGUGCCAGCAGCCGCGGUAAUACGUAGGGGGCUAGCGUUAUCCGGAUUUACUGGGCGUAAAGGGUGCGUAGGUGGUCCUUCAAGUCGGUGGUUAAAGGCUACGGCUCAACCGUAGUAAGCCGCCGAAACUGGAGGACUUGAGUGCAGGAGAGGAAAGUGGAAUUCCCAGUGUAGCGGUGAAAUGCGUAGAUAUUGGGAGGAACACCAGUAGCGAAGGCGGCUUUCUGGACUGCAACUGACACUGAGGCACGAAAGCGUGGGUAGCAAACAGGAUUAGAUACCCUGGUAGUCCACGCUGUAAACGAUGAGUACUAGGUGUCGGGGGUUACCCCCCUCGGUGCCGCAGCUAACGCAUUAAGUACUCCGCCUGGGGAGUACGCACGCAAGUGUGAAACUCAAAGGAAUCGACGGGGACCCGCACAAGUAGCGGAGCAUGUGGUUUAAUUCGAAGCAACGCGAAGAACCU
Molecule: ribosomal RNA, 574 nt
Filed under: Peptostreptococcus stomatis
Lineage: Bacteria; Bacillati; Bacillota; Clostridia; Peptostreptococcales; Peptostreptococcaceae
Description: bacterial SSU rRNA
Rfam family: Bacterial small subunit ribosomal RNA
Source: RNAcentral